Transfer RNA from Apaloderma vittatum (bar-tailed trogon), 73 nucleotides. It matches the Rfam family "tRNA". From Rfam's summary of the family: Transfer RNA (tRNA) molecules are approximately 80 nucleotides in length. Their secondary structure includes four short double-helical elements and three loops (D, anti-codon, and T loops). Further hydrogen bonds mediate the characteristic L-shaped molecular structure. tRNAs have two regions of fundamental functional importance: the anti-codon, which is responsible for specific mRNA codon recognition, and the 3' end, to which the tRNAs corresponding amino acid is attached (by aminoacyl-tRNA synthetases). tRNAs cope with the degeneracy of the genetic code in two manners: having more than one tRNA (with a specific anti-codon) for a particular amino acid; and 'wobble' base-pairing, i.e. permitting non-standard base-pairing at the 3rd anti-codon position. Lineage: Eukaryota; Metazoa; Chordata; Aves; Trogoniformes; Trogonidae. The record is from Rfam.
GGCCAGUUAGCUCAGUCAGUUGAGCAUGGGGCUGACAACGCCAAGGACAUGGGUUCGAUUCCCGUUCGGUCCC